ACAUGCAAGUCGAGCGGUAAGGCCCUUCGGGGUACACGAGCGGCGAACGGGUGAGUAACACGUGAGCAACCUGCCCCCGACUCCGGGAUAAGCGGUGGAAACGCCGUCUAAUACCGGAUACGACCGGCCGCCUCAUGGUAGCCGGUGGAAAGUUUUUCGGUUGGGGAUGGGCUCGCGGCCUAUCAGCUUGUUGGUGGGGUAAAGGCCUACCAAGGCGAUUACGGGUAGCCGGCCUGAGAGGGCGACCGGCCACACUGGGACUGAGACACGGCCCAGACUCCUGCGGGAGGCAGCAGUGGGGAAUAUUGCGCAAUGGGCGAAAGCCUGACGCAGCGACGCCGCGUGGGGGAUGACGGCCUUCGGGUUGUAAACCUCUUUUACCACCAACGCAGGCUCCCAGUUCUCUGGGGGUUGACGGUAGGUGGGGAAUAAGGACCGGCUAACUACGUGCCAGCAGCCGCGGUAAUACGUAGGGUCCGAGCGUUGUCCGGAAUUAUUGGGCGUAAAGAGCUCGUAGGCGGCGUGUCGCGUCUGCUGUGAAAGACCGGGGCUUAACUCCGGUUCUGCAGUGGAUACGGGCAUGCUAGAGGUAGGUAGGGGAGACUGGAAUUCCUGGUGUAGCGGUGAAAUGCGCAGAUAUCAGGAGGAACACCGGUGGCGAAGGCGGGUCUCUGGGCCUUACCUGACGCUGAGGAGCGAAAGCAUGGGGAGCGAACAGGAUUAGAUACCCUGGUAGUCCAUGCCGUAAACGUUGGGCGCUAGGUGUGGGGACUUUCCACGGUUUCCGCGCCGUAGCUAACGCAUUAAGCGCCCCGCCUGGGGAGUACGGCCGCAAGGCUAAAACUCAAAGGAAUUGACGGGGGCCCGCACAAGCGGCGGAGCAUGUUGCUUAAUUCGACGCAACGCGAAGAACCUUACCAAGGUUUGACAUCACCCGUGACCUGCAGAGAUGUGGGGGUCAUUUAGUUGGUGGGGUGACAGGUGGUGCAUGGCCUGUCGUCAGCUCGUGUCGUGAGAUGGUGGUUAAGUCCCCGCACGAGCGCACCCUUAUUCCAUGUUGCCAGCACGUAUGUGGGACUCAUGGGAGACUGCCGG
RNAcentral lists this ribosomal RNA (1095 nucleotides) under uncultured Nocardiopsis sp. Its description in RNAcentral is "bacterial SSU rRNA". It matches the Rfam family "Bacterial small subunit ribosomal RNA", at positions 53 to 1155 of the family's 1533-position model. The record is from RNAcentral. Lineage: Bacteria; Bacillati; Actinomycetota; Actinomycetes; Streptosporangiales; Nocardiopsidaceae.